GACGUAGGUGGCGAGCGUUAUCCGGAUUUACUGGGCGUAAAGCGUGUGCAGGCGGCCUCACAAGUGGUGUAUGAAAUAUCCAGGCUCAACCUGGAGGGGUUAUGCCAGACUGUAAGGCUAGAGUGCGAGAGAGGGGCGUGGAAUUCCGGGUGUAGUGGUGAAAUGCGUAGAGAUCCGGAGGAACCCCAGAGGCGAAGGCGGCGCCCUGGCUCGCAACUGACGCUCAGACACGACAGCAUGGGGAGCGAACGGG
Molecule: ribosomal RNA, 253 nt
Filed under: uncultured bacterium
Lineage: Bacteria
Description: partial 16S ribosomal RNA
Rfam family: Bacterial small subunit ribosomal RNA
Source: RNAcentral